RNAcentral lists this ribosomal RNA (448 nucleotides) under uncultured bacterium. RNAcentral describes it as "bacterial SSU rRNA". It matches the Rfam family "Bacterial small subunit ribosomal RNA", at positions 355 to 825 of the family's 1533-position model. The record is from RNAcentral.
UCGGGAAUUUUGGGCAAUGGGCGAAAGCCUGACCCAGCAACGCCGCGUGAAGGAUGAAGUAUUUCGGUAUGUAAACUUCGAAAGAAUAGGAAGAAUAAAUGACGGUACUAUUUAUAAGGUCCGGCUAACUACGUGCCAGCAGCCGCGGUAAUACGUAGGGACCAAGCGUUGUUCGGAUUUACUGGGCGUAAAGGGCGCGUAGGCGGCAAUUCAAGUCAUCUGUGAAAUCUCCGGGCUUAACUCGGAACGGUCAGAUGAUACUGCUUUGCUAGAGUGCAGAAGGGGCAAUCGGAAUUCUUGGUGUCGCGGUGAAAUGCGUAGAUAUCAAGAGGAACACCUGAGGUGAAGACGGGUUGCUGGGCUGACACUGACGCUGAGGCGCGAAAGCCAGGGGAGCAAACGGGGAUUAGAUACCCUAGUAGUCCCUGAGCGGGCUGGCAAGGCGCAU